RNAcentral lists this unclassified non-coding RNA (392 nucleotides) under uncultured fungus. RNAcentral describes it as "partial contains small subunit ribosomal RNA, internal transcribed spacer 1, and 5.8S ribosomal RNA". The stretch from base 1 to 73 matches the Rfam family "Eukaryotic small subunit ribosomal RNA", at positions 1759 to 1831 of the family's 1831-position model. The record is from RNAcentral. Lineage: Eukaryota; Fungi.
ACAAACUUGGUCAUUUAGAGGAAGUAAAAGUCGUAACAAGGUUUCCGUAGGUGAACCUGCGGAAGGAUCAUUAUUGAAUUGAACAUGGCCAAGGCUGUUGCUGGCUCUGUGGAGCAUGUGCACGCCUGAUGCCAGUUUCUUUCAAAUUUGUUUUACCCAUCUGUGCACCCCUGUGUAGUGCUUGUCAAGUGAGAAAUGUGCAGGCAUGAUUUCAAGGUUGGCCUUGAAUGGGGCCCUCUUUAGUGUUGCCUUGCAUGUCCAUGUGCUUGGCGGGCAUCUACAUUGUAUUUCUUACAUACACUAAACUUGUUGAAUGUCUUGAUGAAAUAAAAACACUUUAUACAACUUUCAACAACGGAUCUCUUGGCUCUCGCAUCAAUGAAGAACGCAGC